RNAcentral lists this ribosomal RNA (665 nucleotides) under Cortinarius favrei. RNAcentral describes it as "eukaryotic LSU rRNA". The stretch from base 266 to 419 matches the Rfam family "5.8S ribosomal RNA". Lineage: Eukaryota; Fungi; Basidiomycota; Agaricomycetes; Agaricales; Cortinariaceae. The record is from RNAcentral.
AAAAGUCGUAACAAGGUUUCCGUAGGUGAACCUGCGGAAGGAUCAUUAUUGAAAUAAACCUGAUGAGUUGUUGCUGGUUCUCUAGAGAGCAUUGUGCACGCUUGUCAUCUUUAUGUCUCCACCUGUGCACAUUUUGUAGACCUGGAUCACUCUCUAAAGUUGGAGGAAUUUGACUUUGUUGUCUUUCCUUGCAUUUCUAGGUCUAUGUUCUUUUUCAUAUAAUCUUAUUGUGAUAUAAUGGACCCUAUAUAAUAUAAACCUAUACAACUUUCAGCAACGGAUCUCUUGGCUCUCGCAUCGAUGAAGAACGCAGCGAAAUGCGAUAAGUAAUGUGAAUUGCAGAAUUCAGUGAAUCAUCGAAUCUUUGAACGCACCUUGCGCUCCUUGGUAUUCCGAGGAGCAUGCCUGUUUGAGUGUCAUUAAUAUAUCAACCUCUUUAAAUUUUGAGAGUGUUUGGAUGUGGGGGGUGUUAUUUUGCUGGCCUUCUCCAAGGUCAGCUCCCCUGAAAUGUAUUAGCGGAACAAUUUGUUGACCGUUCAUUGGUGUGAUAGCAUAUCUACGCUAUUGACGUGAAGCAAGUUCAGCUUAUAACAGUCCAUUGACUUGGACAAUUCUCUAUUUAUUAAUGUGACCUCAAAUCAGGUAGGACUACCCGCUGAACUUAA